Molecule: unclassified non-coding RNA, 249 nt
Filed under: Glomus sp.
Lineage: Eukaryota; Fungi; Glomeromycota; Glomeromycetes; Glomerales; Glomeraceae
Description: partial contains 5.8S ribosomal RNA and internal transcribed spacer 2
Rfam family: 5.8S ribosomal RNA (bases 1-71)
Source: RNAcentral
GUGAAUCAUCAAAUCUUUGAACGCAAAUUGCACUCUCUGGUAUUCCGGAGAGUAUGCCUGUUUGAGGGUCAGUUUAUAUAAAAAUCGGUUUGGUGGCUGCCUUUCUGGGUGACUUACCGGUUUUGGGGCGUCUUGCCUUCGGUUAAUUGAUUUAAAAUUUUUCAUGAUUUAUUUCGAACGUAUUUAAAUGAUUUUACGUACGGUUGCGUCAUCGAAUACUAGGUGUGGUCAUCGUUAUGAUUCGCUCCG